UACGAAGGGGGCUAGCGUUGUUCGGAAUCACUGGGCGUAAAGCGCACGUAGGCGGAUCUUUAAGUCAGGGGUGAAAUCCCGAGGCUCAACCUCGGAACUGCCUUUGAUACUGGAGGUCUCGAGUCCGGGAGAGGUGAGUGGAACUGCGAGUGUAGAGGUGAAAUUCGUAGAUAUUCGCAAGAACACCAGUGGCGAAGGCGGCUCACUGGCCCGGAACUGACGCUGAGGUGCGAAAGCGUGGGGAG
This 245-nucleotide ribosomal RNA is filed under the name uncultured bacterium. RNAcentral describes it as "partial 16S ribosomal RNA". It matches the Rfam family "Bacterial small subunit ribosomal RNA", at positions 524 to 768 of the family's 1533-position model. The record is from RNAcentral.